CAAUUAUGUCCACCAAACCCUCCACACCUAAAAUAGCUAAACUCACACAAUACCUCUUUAACCCUUAAAGGACCACAAUAGUGCCAGGAAAAUAUACUCGUUUUCCUGGCACUAUAGUGCCCUGAGGGUGCCCCCACCCUCAGGGACCCCCUCCCGCCCAGCUCUGGAAAGGGGUUAAAACUUACCUUUUUCCAGCGCUGGGCGGAGAGCUCUCCUCCUCCGAUCCUCCUCUUCUCCUCCC
Pelobates cultripes (western spadefoot toad) is the source of this 241-nucleotide non-coding RNA. Lineage: Eukaryota; Metazoa; Chordata; Amphibia; Anura; Pelobatidae. The record is from the annotation of a GenBank genome assembly.